GGAUACCCGAGGGAAACUUCGGUUAAUACGGUAUAAGACCACACUACCGCAUGGUAGAGGGGUAAAAGGGGCAACCUGGUAUGAGAUGGACUCGCGUCGCAUUAGCUAGUUGGUGAGGUAACGGCCCACCAAGGCGACGAUGCGUAGCCGACCUGAGAGGGUGAUCGGCCACAUUGGGACUGAGAUACGGCCCAGACUCCUACGGGAGGCAGCAGUGGGGAAUAUUGGGCAAUGGAGGAAACUCUGACCCAGCAAUGCCGCGUGAAUGAAGAAGGUCUUCGGAUUGUAAAGUUCUUUAGUCAGGGAAGAAGUCAAUGACGGUACCUGAAGAAUAAGCUCCGGCUAACUACGUGCCAGCAGCCGCGGUAAUACGUAGGGAGCAAGCGUUGUUCGGAAUGACUGGGCGUAAAGGGUGCGUAGGCGGUUGUACAAGUUAGAAGUGAAAACCCAGGGCUUAACUCGGGUGCUGCUUCUAAAACUGUAUGACUUGAGUGCAGUAGAGGUUAGUGGAAUUCCUAGUGUAGCGGUGGAAUGCGUAGAUAUUAGGAGGAACACCAGAGGCGAAGGCGGCUAACUGGACUGCAACUGACGCUGAGGCACGAAAGUGUGGGGAGCAAACAGGAUUAGAUACCCUGGUAGUCCACACUGUAAACGAUGGAUACUAGAUGUAGGAGGUAUCGACUCCUUCUGCGUCGCAG
This 698-nucleotide ribosomal RNA is filed under the name uncultured bacterium. Its description in RNAcentral is "bacterial SSU rRNA". It matches the Rfam family "Bacterial small subunit ribosomal RNA", at positions 141 to 851 of the family's 1533-position model. The record is from RNAcentral.